RNAcentral lists this ribosomal RNA (253 nucleotides) under uncultured bacterium. RNAcentral describes it as "partial 16S ribosomal RNA". It matches the Rfam family "Bacterial small subunit ribosomal RNA", at positions 524 to 776 of the family's 1533-position model. The record is from RNAcentral.
UACGGAGGGUGCAAGCGUUAUCCGGAUUCACUGGGUUUAAAGGGUGUGUAGGCGGGCAGUUAAGUCAGUGGUGAAAUCUCCGGGCUCAACCCGGAAACUGCCAUUGAUACUAUCUGUCUUGAAUAUUGUUGAGGUAGGCGGAAUAUAUCAUGUAGCGGUGAAAUGCAUAGAUAUGAUAUAGAACACCGAUUGCGAAGGCAGCUUACUAAACGAUUAUUGACGCUGAGGCACGAAAGCGUGGGGAUCAAACAGG